This 400-nucleotide unclassified non-coding RNA is filed under the name uncultured fungus. RNAcentral's name for it is "sequence contains ITS1". The stretch from base 1 to 106 matches the Rfam family "5.8S ribosomal RNA", at positions 50 to 154 of the family's 154-position model. The record is from RNAcentral. Lineage: Eukaryota; Fungi.
GAAAUGCGAUACGUAAUGCGAAUUGCAGAAUUCAGUGAAUCAUCAAAUCUUUGAACGCAAAUUGCGCUUUCUGGAUAGGCCAGAGAGCAUGCUUCUUUGAGUAUCGUUUCUACCCCAUCUCAGUGGCUUUGCUGCUGGAGAAUGAGCUGUCUCACUUGUAACAGAGUGGGUCGCUUUAAAGUGCGUGAGUGCCUAAACUCCUGAUGUAGAACCACUUCAAAAAUGGUUCGACCCUACCUGGGUUCCUAGCAUCGGUGAUGUGGAUAAAUUUUUUCUAACAUCGCUGAAGCUGGUGAGCCUAAGUGGUGGCUAAACAUCGUUGGUAACUUGACACUUGUGGAAAAUUAAAUCAAUUUUUUGAAUUAGAUCUCAAAUGAAGCAAGACUACCCGCUGAACUUA